GAUCAUGGCUCAGGACGAACGCUGGCGGCGUGCUUAACACAUGCAAGUCGAACGAAAAGAGGGGAGGAGCUUGCUCUUUCCGGAAUUGAGUGGCAAACGGGUGAGUAACACGUAAACAACCUGCCUUCAGGAUGGGGACAACAGACGGAAACGACUGCUAAUACCGAAUAAGUUCCAAGAGCCGCAUGGCCCAUGGAAGAAAAGGUGGCCUCUACCUGUAAGCUAUCGCCUGAAGAGGGGUUUGCGU
RNAcentral lists this ribosomal RNA (247 nucleotides) under uncultured bacterium. Its description in RNAcentral is "partial 16S ribosomal RNA". It matches the Rfam family "Bacterial small subunit ribosomal RNA", at positions 15 to 236 of the family's 1533-position model. The record is from RNAcentral.